CCUACGGGAGGCUGCAGUGAGGAAUAUUGGUCAAUGGUCGGGAGACUGAACCAGCCAAGCCGCGUGAGGGAUGAAGGUACAGAGUAUCGUAAACCUCUUUUGUCAGGGAACAAAGGCGGGGACGUGUCCCCGGCUGAGUGUACCUGAAGAAAAAGCAUCGGCUAACUCCGUGCCAGCAGCCGCGGUAAUACGGAGGAUGCGAGCGUUAUCCGGAUUUAUUGGGUUUAAAGGGUGCGCAGGCGGUCUGUUAAGUCAGCGGUCAAAGCCCGGGGCUCAACCCCGGUCCGCCGUUGAAACUGGCAGUCUCGAGUUGGAGAGAAGUAUGCGGAAUGCGCGGUGUAGCGGUGAAAUGCAUAGAUAUCGCGCAGAACUCCGAUUGCGAAGGCAGCAUGCCGGCUCCACACUGACGCUGAGGCACGAAAGCGUGGGUAUCGAACAGGAUUAGAUACCCGAGUAGUC
Molecule: ribosomal RNA, 459 nt
Filed under: uncultured bacterium
Lineage: Bacteria
Description: partial 16S ribosomal RNA
Rfam family: Bacterial small subunit ribosomal RNA
Source: RNAcentral